Arachis ipaensis is the source of this 695-nucleotide non-coding RNA. NCBI's taxonomy places the organism in Eukaryota, Viridiplantae, Streptophyta, Magnoliopsida, Fabales, Fabaceae. The record is from RefSeq and is a predicted model, not a curated record.
AUUCGCACAUACACCCCCACUCUUCCCCAGCUGAAUCCUUAUUUUCGCUACACACAUUAUCUUACCGUGGAAAUUCGUCUACUCCUUGUCGCUGCUGAGCAUCAUAGUUGGAAUUGUGCGGCCUUGGCUCCCUCACCAUCGUCAGUCAAGUUCUCUUUCACACCGUCGUCAGUCAAGUUCUCUUCCACACCUUCGCCGUGCUCGUUGAGGAUUUUAAGAUGCCAAGGAAAGCUCGCUACACGAAAGGCACAAGAGUGGAGCCACCACGUCAGCAACCUCCAGCUGCACCUCCUGCGUCUUCACCAUCCGCUGACGAUGACUGGCUCAUUCCCCCGCCCCCAGUAACGGUGGGGUCUCCACAACGGCUCCUCUCUGACCCUUUCGUCUGCCCCGGAGUGAACCAAGACCUGAGCCACAAACCGCUAACGGUGUACAAGUGACGGAACUGUGCAAUGAAGACAUAGACCCGGAGGCGAACGAGGUGGAUUCGUUUCACGAACACAUUGACCGGAUGUUUGCUGCUUCUGAUGCUGAAAAGCGCAAAGGACGAAAGACUAUUGAGUUUUGGGAUGUUGAUCUCAUUGAUUAUGAUGGAAUAGUCAAGGAUGCUAAAAUGAGUGUGAGGGAGGCUAUGGAGCGGUCUCUUAAUGGUAGCAAGAUCAUACUGAGGUUCAACAAGAAACUGCAAGCAGUCG